This 1065-nucleotide ribosomal RNA is filed under the name fungal sp. ARIZ AZ1024. RNAcentral describes it as "eukaryotic LSU rRNA". The stretch from base 474 to 1065 matches the Rfam family "Eukaryotic large subunit ribosomal RNA", at positions 1 to 605 of the family's 3401-position model. The record is from RNAcentral. Lineage: Eukaryota; Fungi.
GAUCAUUAAUGGGUACCGCGCUCCGGCGCAAUCCCCCACCCUUUGCAACCGCGGCCAGGCUUCGGCGCCUGGCGGGGGAACCCCCCGCUUUUGCGGGGCCCCGCCUGCCGGAAUUCGCCAACACUGCCUUGAAAACUGAAGUCUGAGAACAAGCCAAAUGAACAAAAACUUUCAACAACGGAUCUCUUGGUUCUGGCAACGAUGAAGAACGCAGCGAAAUGCGAUAAGUAAUGUGAAUUGCAGAAUUCAGUGAAUCAUCGAAUCUUUGAACGCACAUUGCGCCCCCUGGUAUUCCGGGGGGCACACCUGUUCGAGCGCCAUUUCAACCCUGGAGCCCAGCUCUGUGAUGGGCCCCGUCCUCGCGGACGGGCCCGAAACCCGUGGGCGCCGUCGUCCGGCCCUGAGCGUAGCAAGAGAAAUCCCUCGCUCGGAGCGCCGGCCGCCGGCCGCCCGGAAACCUACCACCACAAGGUUGGCCUCGGAUCAGGUGGGGAUACCCGCUGAACUUAAGCAUAUCAAUAAGCGGAGGAAAAGAAACCAACAGGGAUUGCCUCAGUAACGGCGAGUGAAGCGGCAACAGCUCAAAUUUGAAAUCUGGCUCGCGCCCGAGUUGUAAUUUGUAGAGGAUGUUUCGGGUGAAGCCACGGUCCAAGUCCCUUGGAACAGGACGUCAGAGAGGGUGAGAACCCCGUACCUGGCCGUCGGUGCCCCCCGCUGUGAAACUCCUUCGACGAGUCGAGUUGUUUGGGAAUGCAGCUCUAAAUUGGUGGUAAAUUCCAUCUAAAGCUAAAUACCGGCCAGAGACCGAUAGCGCACAAGUAGAGUGAUCGAAAGAUGAAAAGCACUUUGAAAAGAGAGUUAAAAAGUACGUGAAAUUGUUGAAAGGGAAGCGCUUGCGGCCAGACUUGCCCGCGGUGGCUCAGCCCGCCUUUUGGCGGGUGCACUCCUCCGCGGUCAGGCCAGCAUCGGUUUGGGCGGUCGGAUAAAGGCGCCGGGAACGUAGCCUCCCCUCGGGGAGGUGUUAUAGCCCGGUGCGCAAUGCGGCCAGCCCGGACCGAGGUUCGC